Long non-coding RNA from Apodemus sylvaticus (European woodmouse), 612 nucleotides. RefSeq lists it as uncharacterized. The transcript is spliced from 3 exons. NCBI's taxonomy places the organism in Eukaryota, Metazoa, Chordata, Mammalia, Rodentia, Muridae. The record is from RefSeq and is a predicted model, not a curated record.
GAGGGAGCAGAGGGAUGAAGUUUUCCACAGACUGACUGGAGCCAACUGUGGAGACAGAGAUUCUAAGCUGAAUGAAGUGGGAACCUAGUGAUACCUAGGCACUCAGACCAAUGGAAUCUACAGAAGAAAGGAUCUUUCUCUACUGGAACAACAAAUAUGGUUUGUGAAUCGGUUUUGAAUCUUGGACAGACCUGAGGGUUGAAGCAGUUCACCAGCAUCUUUCAGUGUAUCAUCUGACUAGGUGCCAACAGCACAGUACCUCCAGGAACUAAGAACCUUCCGGUGUCUAGUCAUUACCUGAUGACAUCUGAUGAGGUUGUGCACUCCUGGUAAGCAAUAAACAAACCUUCUAUGUGGACAAAGAUUCAUAUUGUGAUUGGGAAUGGAAGACUGUGAACACUCUUUAUUUUCUAGUUUCAAAUUUAUGAGGACAACCAGUUUCCUCAAAUUUCUGUGGGUCCAUCUGGUUCCUCCUGAGUGCUGAGGUGAGAGUGGCACUAGGCCACUUUAGCAAUGCCCAUUGACAGUUGAAUGUUUGCUGAAUGUGCCACUUUAAUGGAAGACUGUGGAUAUUCUCUUUCCAGGCCAAGGGAUGGAAAUGGAUGUGGGAUG